AAACUUAAAGGAAUUGACGGGCCCGCACAAGCAGCGAGCGUGUGGUUUAAUUCGAUGCUACACGAAGAACUUACCAGGGUUUGACAUGCAAGUGGUAGGAACCGAAAGGCGACCGACCUUCGGGAGCUUGCACAGGUGCUGCAUGGCUGUCGUCAGCUCGUGUCGUGAGAUGUUCGGUUAAGUCCGCUAACGAGCGCAACCCUCGCUGUGUGUUACAAGUGUCACACGGUACUGCCGGUCUUAAGCCGGAGGAAGGUGGGGAUGACGUCAAGUCAGCAUGGCCUUUAUAUCCAGGGCUACACACACGCUACAAUGGUCUGUACAAUGGGUAGCCAAGCCGCGAGGCGGAGCCAAUCCUGAAAGCAGGCCUCAGUUCAGAUUGCAGUCUGCAACUCGACUGCAUGAAGCCGGAGUUGCUAGUAACCGCAGGUCAGCAAUACUGCGGUGAAUACGUUCCCGGGUCUU
Molecule: ribosomal RNA, 465 nt
Filed under: uncultured Anaerolineaceae bacterium
Lineage: Bacteria; Bacillati; Chloroflexota; Anaerolineae; Anaerolineales; Anaerolineaceae
Description: bacterial SSU rRNA
Rfam family: Bacterial small subunit ribosomal RNA
Source: RNAcentral